UACGUAGGGGGCAAGCGUUAUCCGGAUUUACUGGGUGUAAAGGGAGCGUAGACGGCAGCACAAGUCUGAAGUGAAAUGCCGGGGCUUAACCCCGGAACUGCUUUGGAAACUGUGCAGCUAGAGUGCAGGAGAGGUAAGUGGAAUUCCUAGUGUAGCGGUGAAAUGCGUAGAUAUUAGGAGGAACACCAGUGGCGAAGGCGGCUUACUGGACUGUAACUGACGUUGAGGCUCGAAAGCGUGGGGAGCAAACAGG
RNAcentral lists this ribosomal RNA (253 nucleotides) under uncultured bacterium. Its description in RNAcentral is "partial 16S ribosomal RNA". It matches the Rfam family "Bacterial small subunit ribosomal RNA", at positions 524 to 776 of the family's 1533-position model. The record is from RNAcentral.